Molecule: ribosomal RNA, 293 nt
Filed under: uncultured bacterium
Lineage: Bacteria
Description: partial 16S ribosomal RNA
Rfam family: Bacterial small subunit ribosomal RNA
Source: RNAcentral
GGAUUAGAUACCCUGGUAGUCCACGCCGUAAACGAUGAGAACUAGUCGUCGGGAGGGUUUGCCACUCGGUGACGCAGCUAACGCAUUAAGUUCUCCGCCUGGGGAGUACGCCGGCAACGGUAAAACUCAAAGUAAUUGACGGGGGCCCGCACAAGCGGUGGAGCAUGUGGUUUAAUUCGAUGCAACGCGAAGAACCUUACCUGGCCUUGACAUCCUUGGAACUUAGCAGAGAUGCUUCGGUGCCUUCGGGAACCGAGUGACAGGUGCUGCAUGGCUGUCGUCAGCUCGUGCCG